This is a long non-coding RNA of Bombus huntii, 12272 nucleotides long. RefSeq lists it as uncharacterized. NCBI's taxonomy places the organism in Eukaryota, Metazoa, Arthropoda, Insecta, Hymenoptera, Apidae. The transcript has 2 exons. The record is from RefSeq and is a predicted model, not a curated record.
UAUAGCUUUCUUAGAAAUAGAAAUAACCCAUAACAUUCUUAGUAUAUGUCAUUUAACAAUGGAUGGUAGAGAGAUAGUAAAGUUCCAUAAUUGACGUGAGAAUAGUAAAAGGAGAAAAUGACAACAUGUAUAGGUAGGCCUGCCUUUGAUUAUACGUGUACCGUGUACAGGGUAAGAAGUGGGGAAGAUAUAGUAAUGCGACGUGUGUUGACAGUCCCGCUUGUAAUGCUGAACUGCGAUAGUGUUACGGCCUAAUAGUAUCCUACAUUAUUGAAUAACAUGUACCGCAAAUGUGCCAUUAUGUACUUUGUAAUUACCUGACAAAACAAAUCAAUAAGUUAAACCAAUAAAUCGUUCUUUUUGUUAAAUUCUAAAAACCAAAUAAUUUCAAAAUCCCAAAUAUUCCACUGUUGAAUUGUUUGUUCAAAAAGUCACACCUGUUUUGUUCUGUUACAAAUUUUACAAAAUAAAUUUUCCUCAAAAUUAAUUCCUCUGUAAAAAAAAAUUAUAUUCUCUACAAUUUUAAUUCAAAAUAAUUUUCGCAUAAAAAUUCAAACAGUGUGAUUUUACAUUUUUAUAAAUGUUUCAAAUUUUACUUUUACAAUAAAAUUUAAAUAUUCCCUACAUUGCAAAUAUCCCUGUGUAAUACGAGAUUUAUUUUAUUAUUCAUCAAAAAAAAAAAAAGAAAAUAUACAACGCAUCUGUGGCAAACGUAGUCGCUGUUGCACACAAAACACUUCUUGCAGCCUUUGCACUGAUUAAAUAUCCAUAAAUUUCUGUUUAAUUUACGUGCCGAUGGCCAGCUCCACAGGAAACAGAAACUGUCCAGAAUGAUUCACGAUCGCGUGAAUAUUGCGCAAAUUACUUCCGCCCUUAAGACUCGAACUUUCAACGAUUUUCUGACAAACUAAUAAACACCAUAUUAUACAUGAAUUUAUAAGUGAAAUCUCUUUCUCUCCUUAGCACUGAAUUGUUCGAUAAUAUCAAAAAAUAUAAUAACAAUUAAUCUCUUUUUGUUUAACUUUGGAUUAUUACUAAGGCUAAAUGUACAAUAUUUUGCUUCUGAGAUAACACUAGUGCUAAUAUUCUAGUUUACUCAUUAUUUAAGUGUUUUGCUUGAACAUUAUCCACGCGUGUCUAUGAAACCCUAUAUGUACUAGCAAAAAAAUAGGUUAAGUUUAACGCGUUUACUGGUGAGACAUUUUAUAUCACAUAGUCAUUGAUUACUUAUAGUAUAGAUAAGCAUCAUACUCACACCACAAAUAAAAACACCAGUACCAUCUUUGUAGAAGACAUAACUAUUGGUAGCACGUUUCCUACGUGGGAGAAGUUGAAACGAAAAAAUUCCAUAAUGUUAAGUCGUAGGCAGACUUGAAUUAAUUCCAUAAAUACUAUAAUGAUCUUCACUUCAGAAUCUAGAAUAUACUAUAUGCGCAAUAAAUAAUUUUUAUUCAUAACAUGUAUAAUAAUUUACGAUCACGAUUAACCUUAACAGUCCAUUCAUUAAUAAGGUUAUGUUCAAAUGAAAUCCUAAAAUGAUACUUCUCAAUGCUUCGAACAUUUUAAAUAUGUAGAUUAAAGCAUUUCGGGAAUAAGGCUAUAAGGACUUUUGGAUUCAAGGUUAUUAACUUUUAAUGAUAAUAAUAAUAGUUUGAUAAAGUGAUUGUUAUAUUGAAGACAGAACUGUUAAGGGUAAGUACUUCUAAUAAUAGUACCUAUAAUAGAGAAGAAAAAGCUUGAUACCCACAACAAGUUGUAUACAGUAAUUAUUUCGUCAUUGCUAUAAAUGGACAAUACACAUAUUCACAAGUACAUGGAACAAAAGAAAAAGUGGUAAAAAUAAGUACUUCAUCUAUUUAUCCUCUGCACACUCAAAGAUAUGAAUUAGCAUUACACAAACGCGUGAUUACACUCGUACUAUAAAUAGCAUACAAUAUAAUAUGAUUUCGCUUUAGCAUUAUUUUUGUAAACAAUUUAGUAAUAGUUAUGAAAUAUUUGUAUAUAUAUGAAUUUAAAGUAUAGAAAACAAGCUUUCUAAUAAAAUAACUUUCAUUUCGUUAUUUUUGGUAUAUUAGAUUUUUUAUGUAUGAAGUAAUAGCAAUUAAUACAUUUCUUUUAAGGUAUAGGAAAUUGACGUUUAAAAAGAUUAUCUCAGAAAAUUCUUAUGUUAAUCAAGGAUUAAAUAAACAUUGUACGAAGAUAUUUAUUAUUAUUUUAAGAAAACAGUUUACAGGGGAUUUUUGAAAAGGUAUGUAUGACCAAAUGGGACAUCAAGAUUUUGCGUAUGAAUCACGAUGCGAUUUCUCAAAUUCGCUUGAUAAAAGCUUGUGCUAUAAGUGGAAGAUAAACACGUUGCAUCGCCAUUCCACUCGCCAAGUUAAACAGAACAAAAAUAUUCGUAGAGAAAUUUGGAGAGAGAAGAAUAAAGUAUGUAAUAGUAUAGAAUAAGGUAAAAAAAAAAUUAUGAUAGCUGUUAAAAGCACAGUUUUACUUGUACAUUAUAAUCUUAUAUUAUGAUUUUAUAAUUUUCAAAAUUUGUAACGAACAAUUUUCCUUAACAACAAUAAUCGUUUCAAAUUCCAAAUUUAGGAUAGCAAAGUAUCUUCUCAAAAAAUUUCAUAAUAAAAGCAAUUAUUCCAAGUUCCAUAUCUUGGAUAGUAAAGUUCCUUUCUCAAAAAAUAAUUAUUCCAAUUUCCAAUUUUUGUGUGGCAGAUACUCUUCUAAAAAACAUACAAAUAAAGAAAGUAUUUCAAUAUCCAAGACAAGUAUUCAUAUACUAUAUAACAAAAAAAAUCGUGAUAAGUUUUAUAAAAUACACUGCGAUGAAUACAAACGAUUUUCAUAAGAAAUUAAUAAAUUCAGUUAACCAGUCCAUGACUUUAUCUUCGUCAGAACGAUAAUAAACUUUAAAACGCCAGAAACUUUAUACGUAAACGAGAAUGGUUGAAUUGCAGAAACUGUGAAAUAAAUUCUAGAUUUCAGCGUAGAGUACGAAGGAAGACGGAAGUUGCCGAGGAAAUACGAACUGAUAAACAAAUAACGGCAACGCGGCGCUACGGAAAUCUGAGAACGUACAUAUGUGCCAGUCUCGCUUGAAUUCCUGAAUGCAUGUUGCGUUUGUCCUUUAUUUACUAUUACUUUUAAUUGGUUCACCAAGUUAAUAAAAGUCGUUUUAGUUGACUUCCUUUUGAUCAAUUAAGGACUUCGUGGGAGGGCACUUUAAAUGGCCUUCGAAUCAUAACUGAUGUGUCACCAUUGAUACUGAUAAUGCUAUGCUUCAUUUAUUUUAAAAUCCUCACCUGAUUGAAUAUCUAUAAAAAAGAUAGAAUCAAAUGAUGAGUAUUAAAAUUGAAUUUGGAGGUACUUGAUCAUUCAAUUUCGGAUUUGAAUUUUUAUUGAUAUUUAAAAUUUGGAUGCCUAAAUUGGAAUUUCUUAGUUUGAAUUAAUAUUUGAGUGUUUAAAUUUGAAUUGAUUGAAUUAGAAUCGUUAAAUUUGAAUUUAAAAUUCGAGUUUAUACUUUAAUCUGAAUAUAAAAUUUAAAUUUCCCUUUAAAGGACGUUUUCUUUAUGUUUAACGUGGAGGAAACCCGCACGGACACCAGGCCGCUUCUGGGGCCGCAACCGACUAAAAUCUCCAUGAUGACUGCGAUCGAGAGAGGCCCGGAAACGCCUUUUAAGGACUAUUGUAAAACUAACAAAGAAAAUCGACUACUUCGCCGCCGAUUCUGAAUAAACCUAACAUUUUUUGAAUACGUAACCUAGAUGACAUACUUUUACCCUGCCUUCAUACUGCAUAUAACCUCACUUUUCUUAUCCCCUAACUUAAAACUCACUUGGUAAAUACCCUCUAAUCUAAACUAUUCAAUAAAACACCUAGAGCUUGCAACAAAAUGAUCAAAGAAUCUUCCUUGUCACAGUUUCUCGUCACAUAUAAGUAAGAUAAACGACCAAUCAAGAACAUGAUACUUCCUUAACAAAAUAAUCCCUUCAAACUCCAUGACCUGGCACACAAUUGAUUUUUCCCAGAGCAAAUACUUGCAACGUACAAAGAUAUUGCUCAGAGAGCAGAAAACAACGGUUUAAUUAAUUGCAACGUCUGAUCGAGCUUGAGGAAGUAAAAGGGGCCACUUGAACGACCGUGAUCCUGUGUUCUGUCGAGAUGGAAGAGGGCGACGUUGCAGAAUUUCACGAAACAGAGCAAAGAAAUAUCCUGUUGACGCCGUACGGAGGUGAGGAUCAAUGCCAUCACUAUGCACAUGCACGCUUCCGUGGACGAAGUUGACGUACGACAAAACGGCGCCAACGUGGUCUCUGCCAGGCCAAUAACGUCUUUCGAAAUUUUGACGCUUCCGAGUGGGGUCGCGUGGAAUGAACAAUUGAAGAACAGGCAGGGAAACGAACAAUCGUAGAUAAGCAUUGUGUAUGCAACGACUAUUCGAAUGUUGUCCACUUUAUACGAAUAUUAGGUCAGUUUUUCACCAAUCAUUUAAAUACCUGCAAUUCAUAGAUACAUAGAAUUUUGUUCUUUAUUGAAUAUUAUAUUAUUUUGUUUCAUUUUGAAUAAAUGUAAUUGAUAGAAAUUUUCAAAAAUUGUUCAUCAAUAAUUUCUGCCAUAUGUAAUUUAUAAUAUUUUUGUGCUAUAUAGUUUAUUAACAUAUGGCAGGAACUGUAGACAAUAUUUUUAUAAAUAUGCAAUACCUCUUAAUUCUAGUUUUGUAUACUCUAUAGUCUUCUGAAUUUUGUAUUGACUGAAAAAAGGAUUAGGUUAAUUAAUGCAUUGAUCACGAAAUGAUUAAACUUAGAACGCUUUAUCGACUUACCUCAAUCCAACGAAAUACGUUCUUAUGAAGUGCAUAUGAUUCUUUGGUGAACUUGAAAGAGGUAGAUUGUUGUAGAACUCUCGACUUCGCUGAAGAAAGCAGAUUCUAUUUCAGUAAUGAAAAUCUUAUAAUGCGUGAUGCGAAACUGAAUUCCGCAUCAAGCUUUUAUUAAUUAAGGAAGGUACAUUAAGAUGAUUAGUAAAAUGUACCACACCUGUUCAACGUUUGCACGCAACUCCUGUUCUUUUUUAAUAUUCCAAUUUCUCUAAUCUCUAAAAAAAAGCACAUCAACAAAGAAUGAGAUUGAAAAAAGUUAACAUUUUUUUCUGUAUGAAAUAUAGAAAAUUUAUUAUCAUUUUUAUAAAUUUCUGUUUAGAAUAAAAUAAAAGUAUCAUGUUCGUUUACCUUUUAUUUUUAUAUGUUCUUCCUUUUUACUUAUACAUUAUUUAAGAAAAUUAUUUCAGAAAAUUAUUUUAUUUCAAAAUCAAAUAUUUAUUAAAGAAAUUCUGUUUGAUUUUGCAUACCAUUACAGAGUAGCUCUCCCUUGAUGUUUAUUGUCCGUUCAAAACUGUCUUACUCUCCUUACUCUGCCAUAAUCAUCCUUUUCAAAUAUUUAGCCAGAAAGUACGCGGCAAAUUGAAACAAUAUUUCAAUUCUUAACAUUUUACGUAACGUUUUAUCUAAAACAUUAAUUUCAAAAAGAAUUAUUAUUUAUUAUAAAUUACCACAAAUGCUAUUUUAAAUUGUUAUUCUAUUGGCCACUAGAAAUGCUAAUUCGGGAAGUUUCAGGUUAAAAAUCACAAAUUACAAGUUAUUCUGUCUAUCAACAGGAUAUAAAUAAUAAACACUAUAUAUGUACGUGCGUGUGAUUAUCUCAUUUGCUUCAUUUGUCUUUUCUCUAAAAGGAUAUGAGUUAUGUAUUCACUGUGGCACACCUAGGUUAAAAGGCCAUAAUUCUGUAAAUAUAUCAUGCUGUGAAUAAGAUAGAUAUUUCCUUUAUUUAAGCUUGAUACUCAUCGAAAGUAAUAUAUCACAGUCAUUUACGAAAUUCAAAUGUUAUUCUUAAUAAUAAAUCAGUUGGUCCUUCAAAUAUUCGAAUCCUGCUUUUGACAUUCAAAAAACAUUUAAAAAUCAGAUCUAAAACUUUUAGUAAUCAGUUGUAGUACUUUUUUCAAACAAAAGUCAAUACAUAACGUAUAGACUGCGAUUUGCAAAUUUAAGAUUCGAAAAAUCUAUAGAAUAUAAUAUGUAAAGAUAUAUAAGAUAUUUAAAGCACUUAUUAUGAUACUUAGUAGAUGAAACAAAUUUCUAUUUAGAUACGACUUCUUUAACCAUGUUUAUAAAAAUAUCAAAUUGCAUAAAUAUCCACAGUCUAAUGAUAUGAAUCUGAUUUACCGACAAUGAUAAAACCGUUGUAAGUCAGCGCACUCUGCGACAUUCACGAUGUAUCGUUACAUACUAGAAAUCUAUCUCUUUUAUCCUAAGAAAAUUUGAUUGAAUUUACUGUUAACUUGAUCAUAAUUUUCCGUCAUAAAUGUUUUUCUAUCCUUAAGUUUCAAAAAUAAAAUUGUUAUUGAGCAGCAGGUGAUAUUCGCAACAACGUUUCGGACAACUGUGGUUGGCAACUAUGUUUGGCAAUCUGCCAUAUGAACAAGUAGUGUGAAUGUAAGCCAAUUAUGACAUAAUAUCGUCUGAUUAUCGCAACACACAUUGCCAAUAUAUCUUUAUGCACUGUACAAUGUUGUUAUAUAGCAUAACUUCAUUAUGGUUCGCUACCAUUAUCGCUCAAUACCAUGAAUAACCUAUAUUCCAUGUGCCGAGAUCCCUGAGAAUUUGAAUGGUUCGAUUACGAAAUUUGACCUAAAGAGGGCGUGAUAAAGAAGGGUGUAAUAUUUUUCACGCAAUAAUUGAACAAAAGAAUACUUCUUUCUCUAAUUUUACCAUUAUAUAAACUAGUUAUAUAACUUUUCAGUGUGUCUAUUAAAAAAUUUCAUAGAAACAACAGAAUUACAUUUGAUACAAAAGUUUGAUGACAUUAAAUGCAAAGGUGCAAGGAAGUAUGAAACUUUGAAGAGAAGUUUGUUGCAAGUAUACCAUGAAGUAUAGAAUAUAUAUAUGUACAUACAGUUGAUCACAAAAGUAAAUUCCUAUAUAUUUUUAUUAAUAUAUUGUGUAAUCAUAUAUGUUAUUGAAACACAACUACCAUGAUUAUAUGUAUGUAUAAAAUUUGAAACAAACCUGAAAAUGUGUAUAAAAACUACGAGAGAUUUAGUGCAAGUAUAUAUUUCACAUUUAUGUAUAGAUGAGAGAAUUAUUAGUCAAUUGUCCAUUAUAUUAAGUCUUAAAUUCAUUUAGUAAGAUUGUUUUUUGCCAGUUAUUAUACUUAAGAUGCCUGUUCAUAAUGUACAUAUAUUUUUUAUCAAAUGUAUGUUUACAAUAAAUAUCUCGUAAUUUAUAUAUACAUUUUCAAAUUGACUUCCAAUUUGUCCAAUGUAAUCAUAGCACUCGUGUCUCGUUAUAUCACUAAUGAAAUUUUAAAAUGUCUCCUGUAACACAUCUACGAUACGUAUAGCUAACAUAGAAGUUAUGUAUAGUGUAUAGUAAGUGUUAAAAUACUUUCGUGAGCCACUGUACGUUAGGUAACAGUAGAAAAUUUCCAAAAUGGAACGUAUGCUUCUAGCUUUAGUCGUUUGAGCGCUGAACUGUUUGGUAAGGUAUAACUUGCAUUUCCUUUGCAUUUAAUCCCGUCAAUUACAUAACAGAGAUGCGACGACCGGAAGCGCUGCUUAAGAAGCGUCAGCCAAAGAGUCAAAGGUAUUUCUAUGAAGUCCUUAGGAUUGCAGGGUUUUACACAUCACAAUAUUAUGAUAUAUCGUUUCCUAAUAAAGAAACGUAACAUGUAUCGUAUAACAAUCGAACUCGUGCUGCAAAAGAACUUUCGUUUCUCCUUUUUUUUUUUUCAGUUUCCUUCAAUAUAUUGUACCUUAAUAUAAAGGCAACAACGAUAAAAUGAUUGUGCAAUACAAAUAUAUAUAUAUGUAUAUAUCUCAUCGAAUUUCGAUAUUCUUUAAGUAUCUAUAUACUUGUCUUAAAUAUAAUACUGUAUUAUGUACAUACAUACAAAUAUAAUAUAUAAUACAUACAUUAUAUUUAUAUCGCUUUACAGCUUUGCUUUUCUUGUUCGUCUCUUUUAAAGAAUGCAACGAAGAAAAUAUUCCCGCUGGAGUUUGGAACUGAAAGUUCUUACGAGAUCACAGGAAAUCACGAUUUUACAAACGGCGAUCACGAUAAACAAUAGACCCCAUUUUUAUUUGGACAAGGUACAAAAAAUAUUGUCAGCAUACACGGUAUGCAGAAUGCGGUUUUACGUUAGAAUAUAAAACUCAUUCACGAUCUAUUAUUAAAUAAUUAAACAAUAGCCUACUUUGCGAGAUUAUCGUCCGGGAUAAUCGGUCUGAUUUAUUAAUAGAACCUCAGAUCGAUUGCCACUACGUUUAACGUAUCAGAAGUUUCGAAAUACUAUGUGGAAAAACUACAAAGAGCCGGUUUUUUUGCUCGUUUCUUCACGGUUUAUCCGCCUGUCGGUGAUUCUUUCAUUUUCUUUUUUAUAUUUAAACAGUACGAUGAACUUAUAUACAAAAUACUAAGAAGUAAAAAGAAUUAUGUAAUCAAUAUCGAGCAUUUUCAGGUCAGAAGAUAACAUUCAAUAAAUAAGUUAAUCAUCAACAAAAAAGAAGAUAUAUAUAUAUCGACAGGCGAAAGAGCAAUUUUAAAGAGAAAGUGAAACUGAAUGAUCGAGACACCAGUAAUAAACUUCCGCUUAAUGAAGCGAAAUUCGUUACUUCGAGUGAAGGCACUUUUACCCACAGACUGAUUUACACUUUCCUUUGCACGCACACGCAAGAUCAAUCUACGUUCUGCUCUAUAUACAUAUACAUUGCUCAAACAUCACUGUCACACGUUUAUAACGUUGCGUCUGUUUCUCGAUAUCGCGGAAAAUCGCUCAAAUGAAACUUGACCGAUACAACAAUUUGUCAGAACGUAAUAACAAACGAGUCGACUUCUAAACUACCAUUACAGCGUUACAGCUUUCUAACUUGUAUCCACUUGUACGUCUCUAAAGUCUAUCCAAUUUCCUAUUAACAUGCAAUUUAUUCGGUUUAAGAAAAUAAGAACAAAAGUCGUUAGAAUUGCGAGCCAUAAAAUCAACGUGAAAAAUCAGGAGAUAAAGGAAUUAUGUAUGUUUAAAUAAAGAAUUAUACUUUUAUGUAUAUCGUUAGAUGUAAAAAAGAAACGAAAGAGGAAGUCGAGGUGUAUAAAUUGUCUAUUAUCGUUCGAGUUUCAUUCAAGGGUUGUUUUAUCUAGAAACAAAUUGCACUUUUUCAAAACGAGCGAUCAUCGGGGAUAUAUUUGCACAUUUGCUUCGCAAAAAUAUUCCCAACAGAUCGUGUGUUACAUCGCUACAUAAAUCACUUUCGCGCUUUUCUCUUUACCAAAAACAUCAUACAUACACAUAUAUACAUGUACAUUUGCGCGUAUUAAUCAUUUUAAGUAAAACAACAUGAAAGUUCGCGCUAGGAAUUGGUAGAAUACUUAAAUCACGCACACAUGGUGUAUCGCGUGCAUCGCUAGCCAAAAUCGAUACCACAACAUGUAGCCUCGCGAACAAAGAAUUCAGCUUAGGAUAUAUCUUCAACUUUGUGAAUUCCUUUGUAAGAAAAUAACGUAGCAACGAUGACACGCGAAACACAUUGCUCGAGCUGCCAAGAUUACCUUUCAAACUUACUGUCUAUAUAUAUAUACAUUUAUCUAUACGCAUUAUUCUAAUUUAUAACAAGCCUAUCCAGUGGACACAUUCGUCGAUACAUAAGAUUUCGAGUAAAUCCUAUUUUAUAAGAUCCUUUGUAAAAUUUCGAGUAGAUUCCACUCUUUGCAAUCCAAUCCGUACAAACGACCGAUAUUUCGAUUUUUUCUUUUCUUUUUUUUUUUUUUUUAAGACUUUACUGACGAAACGAAUGAUUCUUUUAAUUACUUUUAAAGGAGGAAUAUUUAAAAAAUUAUAGAAAUGCUUUACAGAAUUAUAUGUCAGUUUUAACGGUCAGAUUUGAUUGAUUUUGGAAUCGAUUGUAUAGAUGGAGACCGCAAAGGGCGAGUUUCGUGGCGAAACGCAAUUCACCAGGCUCAAAAUUUCAAGCAGAGAUACAUUUGCACGCGAUCUAUAUUUUUUUAUUAAUUUUCACUCGGUAACUCGAUUACAGACGUUGAAAAAAAUUGAAAGAGAAAGCAAGCGGUAAGAGUGGUGAAAUAGUAGAGCAAUUAUAGGUGAAAUAAUGGGCAUAUCUCUUCCUCCUUGCCUUUGCUUCGUGCGCGGAGAAAAAGGUAAUGAUAUAACGCUAAAAACUGUACAAUAUGUAUUUUAUACAUUCUGUUCAGGCCAUUGUACGUGCUCGUGUUACAAGUAUUAUGUAUUCGUAUCUAUCACGCGCUGGUAUAUACAAAUCGAUACACAUCCCGCCACAUUCUUUGAAAUUCACCGGCGUUCGCCCUUUAAAACACUUGUAAAAGGAAACAAUAGAACCAGUAACGUAACGAUCGAACUGAGAUAUUGGAGAUUUUCCAUGAUGUGAGAAAUUAAAUCUAUUCCUUAUAAUAAAUUUAUACAUCUAGUCAAUUUGUGUGUCUGUAUCAAUUUUGUAAGUAAAUGUAUUCGCAAACAAUGGAAUUUAAGUUUUUACUAAUAGAUCAUAAUCAUACACAUGUAUUAUUUAAGGAAGGAAUACAUUUACCAAGAAUAAUGGACAUUUUCAUACUUAAUUAAUAAUUUUGUUAAAACGUUAGAUAAAUCCACGCAUUGACUAAUAAGUGUAUAUAUUUACCAAACAGGACAUUUUCAUCGUAACAUAUCAAUGAACUUGCUUCUCAAAUAUCAUUUACAACAUCAUAAUCGACGAAAUAGUUGUUGAAAGCGUUUUAAAGUAUAUUGGAGAUUAUUUAAAAGUUUAAAAAUUUCGAUAUGUUAGAAUAAGUAAAAAUGUUCGAACAGAAAAAGAGUAAGUUAUGUCUCAGAUGUUAGGCCACAUGAAUUGUAAAACACAGAUAACUUAAGGAGGAACCAAAAAUCGAUUUUCUGUGAUAGUAGGCGAAUCGAGGUAGAUCCAUAGAAAUUUCAGAUAGUCAAAUAACAUGAGUCGUAAUAAAAAAAGAUACAUUUUUGUAAUCUAUAAAUAAUAAUUCAUAUACCUUCGUCCAUGAGUUUUUAAAAUAAAAAGUGAAAAAUAGAGGGAAAAGAAAAUUGCUUCUAAAGACAUGAAAUAAAAUGAUCUAUAAGUCUGUAAGUACCUUGGAUCUGUUAAAAGAAAAGGAUAAAACAAAAACGUUUAAUAUAUGUGAAUUGAUUAAAAUAAGGAUAAUAGAAAAUAAAAGAAAAAAUUGAUCAAACGGAGAAAAGAGUGAAAGAACUAUGGAUCUACAUAAAAUCACAAUGUCGCGUUCGAACUUACGAAUCUUUAAAGGAAAGCAAUGGAAAGUCGCGCUUUAGUUCCUCUACUAUCUUCCAUUAUAAGUAGAGAAAAUAAAACAUUUCUCUUUCUUCUUUAUCACGGAAUGCUUUAAACAAAUAGGUACGAAAAAAAUACAAUGUACGUUAAACAGGAGUACGGUUUUGUCGAGUGCUGGCAAGGUCCUCGGUAAAUUGCAAUGUUUUAUUAAACAGUCAAUUAGUUUUCCAAGGAUUUAUCUUGCUACACUUAAUUCCUGUGCAUUUCGCUAUCGAUAUCUACAUGUAUUUUGCGUUUUUAUUCAAGACAAUGAUUCGUUUGCUUGCUACCCGAGUUUCAAAAUAUCAUUUUUUCACAAAAAUUCUGUUCUGCGAUGAGUAGCAAAUUAUUCAAAAUUCUUUCAUUCAUUAAACGUUGUAACUAAAUUUGUUCCGCUCGCUAAAUAUUGUAACAAAUACCUUAUUUUGGAUAUUUUAUAUAUUUUUACACAUUUCGUACACUUUUGCAUCCAUAAACAUAUAAACACGAAAACGUCCACAAUCGAGCGAUGAGAUUCGUAAAACGAAUAAUCAAGAUACAUAAAAAGAAACUUUAAGUUAGCUAAUAAAGAAACUACUGAUGUUUUUACAAAAUCACAAUAUAUGUAUGCACGUAUAUAUAUACAUAUUUAUAUAUACACACACAUGGUUCCACAAUUCUUUAUAAAAAAAAAAAAACUCCAUCGACAUAUCUAUCUUCUUUUUUGUCACAGAUGAGAAACGCUCGAGAACAUUGAACGCAGUGGAUGAAAAAAGAAGAAACGGAAUGAAAAGAAAACGGGUUGGUCAGGCAAACGAACCAUCGUCAACGGAACUCGUUCGUCACAUUUCUUUUUUCUUUUCUCUUUUUUUCGUGCAAUGGUGUUUGUUCCUUCGCAAUAGGAAAAACAAGAACAAAAUAAAAAUGAUUGCAAGAUA